AAAAAAAAAAAAAAAGAAGAAGAUUCUCUAUCAACAUCAGUGUUCUUAAGUUUAUGUUGAAGAUUUCUUAUGCUUACAAGUGAACUUUCGAGUAUCUGUUUUGAUUUUAAUAUUUGAGGAUGGCUUGUGAGAUACAUGGUUUACUUGGAAUCUCUUUUCAGGAGAUUAUAUCCUAGAUUUCAUUUCAAGACUCCUCAUAUAUGGUCAAAAUAUGCAAAAUCAAGGAUCCUAGGUAUUGUUGGUUGCUGUUGAGAAAAACACUAUCUUAAAAUUGUUUAUUAUGGACCUUUAAAUUUUGAUUUUAAU
This 306-nucleotide unclassified non-coding RNA is filed under the name Hevea brasiliensis (rubber tree). Lineage: Eukaryota; Viridiplantae; Streptophyta; Magnoliopsida; Malpighiales; Euphorbiaceae. The record is from RNAcentral.